UGGGGAAUAUUGCACAAUGGGCGAAAGCCUGAUGCAGCGACGCCGCGUGAGGGAUGACGGCCUUCGGGUUGUAAACCUCUUUCAGCAGGGACGAAGCGCAAGUGACGGUACCUGCAGAAGAAGCACCGGCUAACUACGUGCCAGCAGCCGCGGUAAUACGUAGGGUGCAAGCGUUGUCCGGAAUUACUGGGCGUAAAGAGUUCGUAGGCGGUUUGUCGCGUCGUUUGUGAAAACCAGCAGCUCAACUGCUGGCUUGCAGGCGAUACUGGCAGACUUGAGUACUGCAGGGGCGACUGGAAUUCCUGGUGUAGCGGUGAAAUGCGCAGAUAUCAGGAGGAACCCCGGUGGCGAAGGCGGGUCUCUGGGCAGUAACUGACGCUGAGGAACGAAAGCGUGGGUAGCGAACAGG
RNAcentral lists this ribosomal RNA (409 nucleotides) under bacterium. RNAcentral describes it as "partial 16S ribosomal RNA". It matches the Rfam family "Bacterial small subunit ribosomal RNA", at positions 355 to 776 of the family's 1533-position model. The record is from RNAcentral.